UACGGGGGGGGCAAGCGUUGUUCGGAAUUACUGGGCGUAAAGGGUUUGUAGGUGGUCUGUUAAGUCAGACGUGAAAUCCCUCAGCUUAACUGGGGAACUGCGUCUGAGACUGAUGGACUUGAGGGCAGGAGAGGAACGCGGAAUUCCUGGUGUAGCGGUGAAAUGCGCAGAUAUCAGGAGGAAUACCGAUGGCGAAGGCAGGUCUCUGGGCCACUACUGACGCUGAGAAGCGAAAGCAUGGGGAGCGAACAGG
This 253-nucleotide ribosomal RNA is filed under the name uncultured bacterium. RNAcentral describes it as "partial 16S ribosomal RNA". It matches the Rfam family "Bacterial small subunit ribosomal RNA", at positions 524 to 776 of the family's 1533-position model. The record is from RNAcentral.